This is a long non-coding RNA of Thalassophryne amazonica, 151 nucleotides long. RefSeq lists it as uncharacterized. Lineage: Eukaryota; Metazoa; Chordata; Actinopteri; Batrachoidiformes; Batrachoididae. The record is from RefSeq and is a predicted model, not a curated record. The transcript is spliced from 3 exons.
GCAUGUAUAAAUCCUCAUUUAAGGCAAAGGACAGCCAGUCAUCUUCUGGGCUGUGGUGACAACCCUCUGGAGAGCUUUCCUGUCUGUGACUGUGCAGCUGGAAAACCACACACAUAAACAGUAGGUCAGAAUGCUCUAUGGAGCAGCGAUA